UCGAACGGAAAGGCCCUGCUUGCAGGGUACUCGAGUGGCGAACGGGUGAGUAACACGUGGGUGAUCUGCCCUGCACUUCGGGAUAAGCUUGGGAAACUGGGUCUAAUACCGGAUAGGAACCAUCUUUAGUGUGGUGGUUGGAAAGUUUUUUCGGUGCAGGAUGAGCUCGCGGCCUAUCAGCUUGUUGGUGGGGUAAUGGCCUACCAAGGCGGCGACGGGUAGCCGGCCUGAGAGGGUGUACGGCCACAUUGGGACUGAGAUACGGCCCAGACUCCUACGGGAGGCAGCAGUGGGGAAUAUUGCACAAUGGGCGCAAGCCUGAUGCAGCGACGCCGCGUGGGGGAUGAAGGCCUUCGGGUUGUAAACUCCUUUCGCUAGGGACGAAGCUUUUUGGUGACGGUACCUAGAUAAGAAGCACCGGCUAACUACGUGCCAGCAGCCGCGGUAAUACGUAGGGUGCGAGCGUUGUCCGGAAUUACUGGGCGUAAAGGGCUCGUAGGUGGUUUGUCGCGUCGUCUGUGAAAUUCUGGGGCUUAACUCCGGGCGUGCAGGCGAUACGGGCAUAACUUGAGUGCUGUAGGGGUAACUGGAAUUCCUGGUGUGGCGGUGAAAUGCGCAGAUAUCAGGAGGAACACCGAUGGCGAAGGCAGGUUACUGG
RNAcentral lists this ribosomal RNA (658 nucleotides) under uncultured Actinomycetales bacterium. Its description in RNAcentral is "bacterial SSU rRNA". It matches the Rfam family "Bacterial small subunit ribosomal RNA", at positions 62 to 732 of the family's 1533-position model. Lineage: Bacteria; Bacillati; Actinomycetota; Actinomycetes; Actinomycetales. The record is from RNAcentral.